RNAcentral lists this ribosomal RNA (427 nucleotides) under uncultured bacterium. Its description in RNAcentral is "partial 16S ribosomal RNA". It matches the Rfam family "Bacterial small subunit ribosomal RNA", at positions 354 to 796 of the family's 1533-position model. The record is from RNAcentral.
GUGGGGAAUUUUGGACAAUGGGCGCAAGCCUGAUCCAGCGACGCCGCGUGGAGGACGAAGGCCUUCGGGUUGUAAACUCCUUUUGGAGGGGAAGAAUAAAUUGACGGUACCCUCAGAAAAAGCCACGGCUAACUACGUGCCAGCAGCCGCGGUAAUACGUAGGUGGCGAGCGUUACUCGGAAUUACUAGGCGUAAAGCGUAUGUAGGUGGUUAGAUAAGUCUAUGGUGAAAUUUCCUGGCUUAACUGGGAAGGGACAUAGAUACUAUCUGGCUUGAGUGUGGGAGGCGGAGACGUAAUUCCUGGUGUAGCGGUGAAAUGCGUAGAUAUCAGGAGGAACACCGAUGGCGAAAGCAGUCUCCUGGCCCAAUACUGACACUGAGGUACGAAAGCUAGGGUAGCAAACAGGAUUAGAAACCCUUGUAGUCC